Mycena floridula is the source of this 105-nucleotide non-coding RNA. Lineage: Eukaryota; Fungi; Basidiomycota; Agaricomycetes; Agaricales; Mycenaceae. The record is from the annotation of a GenBank genome assembly.
GGCCCAAUGGUCUAGUGGUACGAUUCUCGCUUUGGGAUAUUCCAAGAUUUGCGUCUUGCCUGUUCUCACUGCGAGCGGCCCCGGGUUCGAAUCCCGGUUGGGCCC